AACCUGGUUGAUCCUGCCAGUAGUCAUAUGCUUGUCUUAAAGAUUAAGCCAUGCAUGUCUAAGUAUAAGCAUUUAUACCGCGAGACUGCGAACGGCUCAUUAAAACAGUUAUGGUUUAUUUGAUGGUUCCUUUGCUACUUGGAUAACCGUAGUAAUUCUAGAGCUAAUACAUGCACGAAGGGGCGACUUACGAAGCCCUGUAUUUAUUAGAUUAAAGCCAACCACCUCCGGGUGUCCGUGGUGAAUCAUAGUAACUUAUCGGAUCGCCGGCUCUAUGCCAGCAACGUGUCAUUCAAAUUUCUGCCCUAUCAGCUUUAGAUGGUAGGAUAUGGGCCUACCAUGGCGGUGACGGGUAACGGAGAAUUAGGGUUCGAUUCCGGAGAGGGAGCCUGAGAAACGGCUACCACUUCUAAGGAAGGCAGCAGGCGCGCAAAUUACCCAAUCCUGACUCAGGGAGGUAGUGACAAGAAAUAACAAUAAACCGGCUUAUGCCGGUUUAAUUGGAAUGAGUACAAUUUAAACAUCUUAACGAGGAACAAUUGGAGGGCAAGUCUGGUGCCAGCAGCCGCGGUAAUUCCAGCUCCAAUAGC
RNAcentral lists this ribosomal RNA (590 nucleotides) under uncultured marine eukaryote. RNAcentral describes it as "SSU rRNA". It matches the Rfam family "Eukaryotic small subunit ribosomal RNA", at positions 1 to 598 of the family's 1831-position model. The record is from RNAcentral.